UAGAAUCAUAGAGUUGGAAGAGACCACAAGGGCCAUCGAUGGCCCUUGUAGUCUCUUCCAACUCUAUGAUUCUA
This is a non-coding RNA of Podarcis lilfordi (Lilford's wall lizard), 74 nucleotides long. Lineage: Eukaryota; Metazoa; Chordata; Lepidosauria; Squamata; Lacertidae. The record is from the annotation of a GenBank genome assembly.